Molecule: ribosomal RNA, 365 nt
Filed under: uncultured bacterium
Lineage: Bacteria
Description: bacterial SSU rRNA
Rfam family: Bacterial small subunit ribosomal RNA
Source: RNAcentral
CUAGCGACUUCAGAGUUUGAUCCUGGCUCAGGAUGAACGCUGGCGGCGUGCUUAACACAUGCAAGUCGAACGAAGCGCUUUUAACGGACUGGAGAGCUUGCUCAAAGGAAAGAUAGAAGUGACUGAGUGGCGGACGGGUGAGUAACGCGUGGGUAACCUGCCUCAUACAGGGGGAUAACAGUUAGAAAUGACUGCUAAUACCGCAUAAGCGCACAGUAUCGCAUGAUGCAGUGUGAAAAACUCCGGUGGUAUGAGAUGGACCCGCGUCUGAUUAACUAGUUGGUGGGGUAACGGCCUACCAAGGCGACGAUCAGUAGCCGGCUUGAGAGAGUGAACGGCCACAUUGGGACUGAGACACGGCCCAA